GAUGAAGAACGUAGCGAAAUGCGAUAAGUAAUGUGAAUUGCAGAAUUCAGUGAAUCAUCGAAUCUUUGAACGCACAUUGCGCCCGCCAGUAUUCUGGCGGGCAUGCCUGUUCGAGCGUCAUUUCAACCCUCAAGCCCAGCUUGGUGUUGGGGAUCGGCACAGGCGCCCUCGGGCGCCCGCCGUCCCCUAAAUCUAGUGGCGGUCCCGCUGCAGCCUCCUCUGCGUAGUAGUUUUCUCCUCGCAAGGGCAGCUCGGUGGCGACCUCGCCGUAAAACCCCCCACUUCUGAAAGGUUGACCUCGAAUCAGGUAGGAAUACCCGCUGAACUUAAGCAUAUCAAUAAGCGGAGGA
Molecule: unclassified non-coding RNA, 350 nt
Filed under: soil metagenome
Description: partial contains 5.8S ribosomal RNA, internal transcribed spacer 2, and large subunit ribosomal RNA
Rfam family: 5.8S ribosomal RNA (bases 1-120)
Source: RNAcentral